AUGGGAUGCCAAGGCGGCAAACAUUUCUUUUGNUGUAUGUGUUCUUUUUUUGUGAGCAACGUAAAUGAUAUUGACUGUUUAUUCGUUACACAUAUUACUGUCACUUUCAUAAAAUUACUGACGAUGGGAGCAGCACUGUUUGAAACAUGUUUGAAACAAGACUUGAAGAAUACUAAUCAACUACAGUGCAUUGCGCGCCGGAAACAAUGAAAUGCUAAGCAAAGCGCCAUUUUCUCUGCCAGAAAAAUGGCGGUUUUCUAGGUGAAGUUUGGGAAUCCAGUUCCAUCGGUCUUGUUAUUCCUGCUAGAUGUGUUAUAACCAUCGUAUUAUAAUGAUACAUAGUCACUUAAAGCUUUCCACUUAAAGAUUUCAAAAGUUAUGUCUAACAGUUGGACGACUACCCUGGGUUCCAGAGGGAUUUUUUCCGCGGAUUUACUGACUGAGAGCUGCGCAAGCCUCUCGCGGCCUCGCCGNUCUUAGUCGGUAAAUCCGCGAGAAAAAUCCCUCUGUAACCCAGGGUAUUGGACGACCGAAAAAUUAUAAUUUCACUAAGAGAAUCACUAUGAAAAACUCAACCUACUUGCUGUGGAAUAAAAGGAAGGAAACUUGGGGAAUUUGAGAACAUUGGUAUAGUGAAUUUUCAAAAAAACUGCUUCAUUGGCACGUAUGGAAGAGAUUCAAGAACGAUGUAGGCGAACGAUGUAAACAAUAACAUUGCGCAGUGUAUUGUAGCUGACUAGGAUUCUUUAAAGUUGUCAUCAAGAUAUGGGUAAUUUGCACAGCAAAAAAAAAGCACACACACACACAAAAAACUAAAUCCGAAAAGAAAAUAAAGGAUUACAAAGCCGACAGAAGAUAAUCUCAAAACGAAGGGUUACUUAAAUUUGAAUUCAGUAAAAAGCUCUAGCAGAGACACUAACCCGAAAAGGAAGGAAGGAAUUAUGACAUAAUCGUAUACAUCCUUUUAGAGAAGAAAGAAAACUAUAAUGUACUUAAUUUUCCAAAUCGUUUUAAGAUUUUAAAGAAAACCUUUUAAAUGUCUCUCUUGAAAUGAUAAGAUUUCAGUUAAAAGUUUUGGUCGUAAAAGAAGCGGAAAUAUUACAAUAUUAAUUCGCGAGGGAAAUUUUUUUGCCGAUAAUAUGCAUGAUUGAAAUUUUUGUUCUAUAUCGCUGACUUUCUCCAGAAAUUCAAGACAGUUUUGAGAAGGGUCUAUUCCAGUUUGAAGACCAGAAGGGCGAAAAAGGCUUUUUGCGCCUCUAUUUGCUACUGGUGUUUUACUUCAGAAACCUGCAACGCCAAGUCAAAUGGGAAAGAAAAUGGUUGAGAAUGUAAUGGUUAUGAAUACAAAUGUGGGAACUCUUUGACCACCCCUCCCCCCUGGUGAGAUAGUUCGACGGUCUUCAGCCAUCGAAGUACAUUGGCCAUUCGUGGUGUUGAAAGGAAGGACGAAAGAUAUCAUCAUUGGAUUCAAUUUUUAUGUUUCAACUAAAAAAAUACAUACGUUGCAAGCCAUUGCCGUGCCGUGCACGUGCAGUUUGUAGGAUUGUCACGAUUCUGAACACGAACUAUGAUUUAGGGCAAAUAAAAUACAUACGUCGCAAGCCAUUUUAGUGUCAGUGUUACCUUGCCGUGCACGUACUGUUAGUAGGAUUGUCACGAUUCUCAACACGAACUAUAACUUCGAGCAAAUAAAAUACAUACGUCGCAAGCCAUUUUAGUGUCAGUGUUACCUUGCUGUGCACGUGCACGUGCUGUUAGUAGGAUUGUCAUGAAGAAAAGUAAAGAAGACUUACCAAUUCAUAAAUACGCCAAGCAGCAGAACAAGAAGAGAGAUCUUGCGCAAAGUCACCCCUGG
This 1855-nucleotide long non-coding RNA is filed under the name Actinia tenebrosa (Australian red waratah sea anemone). Its description in RNAcentral is "uncharacterized LOC116299079". Lineage: Eukaryota; Metazoa; Cnidaria; Anthozoa; Actiniaria; Actiniidae. The record is from RNAcentral.